GCAAGAGGUCGAAAGUUGGCCCCCGAAAGUCUUCCGUCUCCCCCCCGGGGCCUCCCGGGGAGGUUGCGGGCGGCGAGGGGUGCCUCCGGCCGCACGCCCAUUCUUGUCUACUGACCCGGUUGCCUCGGCGGGCCGCGCUGCUGUGCUACAGCGGCCGUUCGGGGGGGACGCCUGAGGGGGACUCUUGUUUCUAGGCCACGCCCCGGGCAGCGCUCGCCGGAGGAUUACUCUGGAAAACACACUCUUGAAAGAACAUACCGUCUGAGCGAGCAACGCAAAUCAGUUAAAACUUUCAACAACGGAUCUCUUGGUUCCGGCAUCGAUGAAGAACGCAGCGAAAUGCGAUAAGUAAUGUGAAUUGCAGAAUUCCGUGAAUCAUCGAAUCUUUGAACGCACAUUGCGCCCCCUGGCAUUCCGGGGGGCAUGCCUGUUCGAGCGUCAUUUCAACCCCUCAAGCCCGGCUUGUGUGAUGGACGACCGUCCCCCCUCCCCAGUAACCACCCACCGCUUAGGGGGGUGGGAGGGAGGGGGACGCGCCCGAAAAGCAGUGGUCAGGCCGCGAUUCCGGCUCCUGGGCGAAUGGGACAUACCACCGCCUCCAGGACCGGCCGGCAGGCGGCCUAACGCACCAUGUAUU
RNAcentral lists this unclassified non-coding RNA (637 nucleotides) under Microsporum canis. RNAcentral describes it as "partial contains ITS1, 5.8S rRNA and ITS2". The stretch from base 288 to 441 matches the Rfam family "5.8S ribosomal RNA". The record is from RNAcentral. Lineage: Eukaryota; Fungi; Ascomycota; Eurotiomycetes; Onygenales; Arthrodermataceae.